CCUACGGGUGGCAGCAGUGGGGAAUAUUGCUCAAUGGGGGAAACCCUGAUGCAGCAACGCCGCGUGAAGGAAGACGGUCUUCGGAUUGUAAAAUUCUGUUCUUAGUGAAGAAAAAUGACGGUAGCUAAGGUGAAAGCCACGACUAAAUACGUGCAAGCAGCCGAGGUACUAGGUAGGAGGCAAGCGUAGUCCGGAAGUACGUGGUGUAAAGGGAGCGCAGGCGGGAAGCGAAGUCAGGUGUGAAAACUACGGGCUUAAAUUGUAGACUGCAGUUGAACCGGGUUUCCUUGAGUGAAGUAGAGGUAUGCGGAAUGCCUGGUGUAGCGGUGAAAUGCGUAGAUAUUAGGAGGAACACCGGUGGCGAAGGCGGCCAACUGGGCUUUAACUGACGCUGAGGCUCGAAAGUGUGGGGAGCAAACAGGAUUAGAUACCCGUGUAGUC
RNAcentral lists this ribosomal RNA (441 nucleotides) under uncultured bacterium. Its description in RNAcentral is "partial 16S ribosomal RNA". It matches the Rfam family "Bacterial small subunit ribosomal RNA", at positions 338 to 795 of the family's 1533-position model. The record is from RNAcentral.